This 405-nucleotide ribosomal RNA is filed under the name uncultured bacterium. Its description in RNAcentral is "bacterial SSU rRNA". It matches the Rfam family "Bacterial small subunit ribosomal RNA", at positions 39 to 458 of the family's 1533-position model. The record is from RNAcentral.
GGCUGCGGGAAUUCGAUUAGGCAUAACACAUGCAAGUCGUACGAGAGUUUUUAACUCAAGUGGCGGACGGGUGAGUAACACGUAAGAAUUUGCCUUUAGGAGGGGGAUAACAACUGGAAACGGUUGCUAAUACCCCAUAUGCUUUUGAGUGAAAUGGAUUUCCGCCUAAAGAGAAGCUUGCGGCUGAUUAACUUGUUGGUGAGGUAAUGGCUCACCAAGGCGACGAUCAGUAUCUGGUUUGAGAGGAUGAUCAGACACACUGGAACUGAGACACGGUCCAGACUCCUACGGGAGGCAUCAGUGGGGAAUUUUCCGCAAUAGGCGAAAGCCUGUCGGAGCAAUACCGCGUGAGGGAUGUAGGGCUAUGGGUUGUAAACCCCUUUUUUCAGGGAGGAAUCAAUGACG